AGGACAAGGACACUCUGAAACAUCGUUUCACCGAACUCAACAACCUCACAAAGAAAAUUCUAGAUGUGACCAAGGAUAUCCUCGAAUUAAAAGAGCUUCGCACAAAAUAUAAUACAUUGGCAACUACUACAAUGACCAUGGACAUGACCGAUAUCCCCAAAGCAGUUUACUUGACCAUCCAAGUCAUUAUGAAUUGUGCCUCACUGAUCGCUGACUUCAUACACUCGGGUCACGAGCACAUAAGCCCGAUGACAGGGGUUAAGGAUCUUGGCGACGAGUUUAAGAAAAUACAUGAGCUGAUGAUGCAAUUAGACUCGUGCCAUGAACACAUAGGUA
This is a long non-coding RNA of Magnolia sinica, 336 nucleotides long. RefSeq lists it as uncharacterized. NCBI's taxonomy places the organism in Eukaryota, Viridiplantae, Streptophyta, Magnoliopsida, Magnoliales, Magnoliaceae. The record is from RefSeq and is a predicted model, not a curated record. The transcript is spliced from 2 exons.